RNAcentral lists this ribosomal RNA (546 nucleotides) under Globigerinella siphonifera. RNAcentral's name for it is "partial 18S ribosomal RNA". It matches the Rfam family "Eukaryotic small subunit ribosomal RNA", at positions 1365 to 1721 of the family's 1831-position model. Lineage: Eukaryota; Foraminifera; Rotaliida; Globigerinidae. The record is from RNAcentral.
GCUUUCUAUUAGGUGUGUAUAUAUAGUCUCAAAAUUACAUGUAUUUGUAAUGGCGAGUAAUAUUUAUACUAUCCUGUAGGAAAACUCGGGCGACCGCUGUAAUAUUUCUCUUUAAAACAGAGGAAGAUUGCGGCAAUAACAGGUCUGUGAUGCCCUCAGAUGUCCCGGGCCGCACACGUGCUACAUUGAUUAGCGCAGUGCGCAUACUUUCAAUAUGAUACAUUAGAUUGGAUUGUUCUGUUGAGCUCCAUCUAAUACUAUCCGGCUUGAGAAGGCUGGGUAAUCAAUUGUAAGUGCUGGUUCCUCCUCCCGUUGAGCAUUUUAAUAAUGGCCUCUCUACAUCCCUAGCAAUAUGCCUAGUGCGAUUGUAGUUGAGCCUUGCCAUUUAUGCAAGUGUCAAUUCUCAGUGGGGACAGACAUUUGAUAAUUCUUUGUCUCGUUCUUAACUAGGAAUGCCUUGUACGGGUCUUGGUUCAACAGACCACCCGGAAUACGUCCCUGCCCUUUGUAMACACCGCCCGUCGCUCUUACCGAUGAAUUUCCCUG